CUGAUUAAGAAAAUCUGUUUCUUUGCAAAUUUGUAGACAAGAUGGACUGUGUGGCCUCCGCACCCAUUGUUGGCCAUCUGUAGAUAUGAGGCUCCAUUAGAAAGUCUUUCUUGGUGGUUAGAGGGUGUAGCAUUGCCUUAGGGCAUUAGUGUGUGCACUGUGUUCGAGGACCUGGGGGAUUACAACGGCUCGUACACUAUCAGCUGAAAUUCAUUAACCCCAGAGGAUAACCUCAGGAGGGAGGCAGUGAAAGCAACUGCCACUAUUGCAGAGCUGAAACCUAUAAUUAUGCAGCCACAGCUUUGCAAUUUGACAAAAUUGAGGAAGGCUGAGAAACAUCUGACAGACGG
Cyprinus carpio carpio is the source of this 350-nucleotide long non-coding RNA. The record is from Ensembl. NCBI's taxonomy places the organism in Eukaryota, Metazoa, Chordata, Actinopteri, Cypriniformes, Cyprinidae.